RNAcentral lists this ribosomal RNA (332 nucleotides) under uncultured bacterium. RNAcentral's name for it is "bacterial SSU rRNA". It matches the Rfam family "Bacterial small subunit ribosomal RNA", at positions 568 to 898 of the family's 1533-position model. The record is from RNAcentral.
CGUGUAGGCGGCCUUCUAAGUCUGGUGUGAAAGCCCGGGGCUUACCCCCGGAAGGGCACUGGAAACUGGGAGGCUAGAGUACCGGAGAGGAGGGUGGAAUUCCUGGUGUAGCGGUGAAAUGCGUAGAUAUCAGGAGGAACACCGGUGGCGAAGGCGGCCCUCUGGACGGAUACUGACGCUGAGACGCGAAAGCGUGGGGAGCAAACAGGAUUAGAUACCCUGGUAGUCCACGCUGUAAACGAUGGGCACUAGGUGUUCGGGGUAUUGACCCCCUGAGUGCCGCAGCUAACGCAUUAAGUGCCCCGCCUGGGGACUACGGCCGCAAGGUUAAA